AAUGGGGGCAACCCUGAUCCAGCAAUGCCGCGUGGGUGAUGAAGGCCUUCGGGUUGUAAAGCCCUUUCGGCGGGGACGAUGAUGACGGUACCCGCAGAAGAAGCCCCGGCUAACUUCGUGCCAGCAGCCGCGGUAAUACGAAGGGGGCUAGCGUUGUUCGGAAUGACUGGGCGUAAAGGGCGCGUAGGCGGCGCAUUUAGUCAGGCGUGAAAGCCCUGGGCUCAACCUAGGAAUUGCGUUUGAUACUGGUGCGCUGGAGUGCGGGAGAGGAUGGUGGAAUUCCCAGUGUAGAGGUGAAAUUCGUAGAUAUUGGGAAGAACACCGGUGGCGAAGGCGGCCAUCUGGACCGUUACUGACGCUGAGGCGCGAAAGCGUGGGGAGCAAA
Molecule: ribosomal RNA, 385 nt
Filed under: uncultured bacterium
Lineage: Bacteria
Description: bacterial SSU rRNA
Rfam family: Bacterial small subunit ribosomal RNA
Source: RNAcentral